RNAcentral lists this long non-coding RNA (1115 nucleotides) under Crocodylus porosus (Australian saltwater crocodile). Its description in RNAcentral is "lncRNA (ENSCPRG00005002710.1)". The record is from RNAcentral. Lineage: Eukaryota; Metazoa; Chordata; Crocodylia; Crocodylidae.
GCGCAAGGCGCUGCACGGGCCGCAGGAGGAGCCUCCGGAUGCCGCCGCCGGCCGGCGCAGCCCCGACGCGCGGGGGUGACGGGACACCGGGCUGGGGAGGGGGCCGCAGUACCUGCUGGCGGCUCCCGGCAGCCGGUGACAGCUCGCAAGCGGAAGUAAAACCCCACGACUUCCGGGUACCCCGCGGCAGGCCAUAGGACAACCACCGUGACCGUUCACUCCUCCGUGACCCCGGAAGAAGAACCGGCGUGUGGUGUAAUGCUCUGUGCCCGAGAUAAAAAGCGCCGGGAGAGGGGGCGAAUCCUCGAGGGAACAAACAUCGUGGGCAGAGGGAGGGGGAAGCGCUGCGCAGCCCAUUGGCAGGGCAGGCACCGCCUCGGGGUGGAGCCCGCCUCAAGGUGGGGGCGUGUGUGGGGGGUCAUGCUGGGAAAGGGCAGGUGCGUGGCAGGGGCGCACCCCCGGCUGGGGCGGGGAGCAGCUCCCCUCCCCCGCUGGGCGCCUGUCGGCGGGCCGGGCCUGGCUUCUCCAGGCCUAGGGGUCCCUGGAGGCAUCGGCCUCUCCUGUGCCAAGCUCGGUGUCCUUGGCAGCAGGAGGCCAUGGUUCGCAGCCUGCCUGCCUGAGCAGGGCGAGCUGCAAGCCCUGGAGCUGGCCCCAGGACGGGUCGGAGCUGGGUGGUGGCAAAGGGGACACGCAAAACAGGAGGUGGCUGAUGGGAUGGGCAGCUCUGCCUGUUCAGAGACCGCCUGGGCUUCCAGCAGUGUCCAUUUUCCCUCAGUCUCCUGCUUCACGCACCUCAGGGUGGUCUCCCUUCACAGUGUACUCCUGAGCCUGGCCUCGGCCUCGUCUGGCAAAGGCAGCCAUAAUCAGUCUUGGGAACAUCAGAGUCAUACUCGAGCCUCUUCCUUACCAUGAAGAAGCCUGGAUCACUCCACCACCCUCAUAAUAGGAUGCCACCUUCAUGUACUUAGAGUACCUGUGAUGAGUCUGCUUCUUGGCUUUGCUGCUGGGCACUAGAUGGGACAAAGAAGACUGGCCAGCCUCCUGUUCCUGGUCCAGGAUCCUUUUCUCUUUCCCUGUCCUUCCCUCUUCCCUACCCCCAAUAAAACAGUCUGCAA